AACGCUGGCGGCGUGGAUUAGGCAUGCAAGUCGAGCGGGAUCGCGGGUUCAAUUCUUCGGAAAAGAUUCCCGUGGUGAGAGCGGCGAACGGGUGAGUAAUGCGCAGACAACUUGCCCCCCGGACUGGGAUAGCCCCUCGAAAGAGGGAUUAAUACCGGAUAUGGUCGUCCCGCACAAGCGGGAUUAUCCAAAGGUGCCUUCUUCGGAAGGUGUCACCAGGGGAUGGGUUUGCGUUCUAUCAGCUUGUUGGUGGGGUAACGGCUCACCAAGGCAAUGACGGAUAGCUGGUCUGAGAGGAUGGUCAGCCACACUGGGACUGAGACACUGCCCAGACUCCUACGGGAGGCUGCAGUCGAGAAUCAUUCGCAAUGCGCGCAAGCGUGACGAUGCGACGCCGCGUGGAGGAUGACGGCCUUCGGGUUGUAAACUCCUGUCAUGAGGGAACAAAGCUUGCGGGUUAAUACCCCGGGAGUGUGAUGGUACCUCAAGAGGAAGUCACGGCUAACUCUGUGCCAGCAGCCGCGGUAAUACAGAGGUGGCAAGCGUUGUCCGGAUUUACUGGGCGUAAAGGGUGCGUAGGCGGUACGGUAUGUCGGAUGUGAAAUCUCGCAGCUCAACUGUGAAACGUCAUUCGAAACUGCCGAACUAGAGUACUGGAGAGGAGAGCGGAAUUCUUGGAGUAGCGGUGAAAUGCGUAGAUAUCAAGAAGAACACCGGUGGCGAAGGCGGCUCUCUGGACAGUUACUGACGCUGAGGUACGAAAGCCAGGGGAGCGAAGAGGAUUAGAUACCCUCGUAGUCCUGGCAGUAAACGAUGUGCACUUGGUGUGGGGAGGAGUUAUCCCCUUUCCGUACCGGAGUUAACGCGUUAAGUGCACCGCCUGGGGAGUACGGCCGCAAGGCUAAAACUCAAAGGAAUUGACGGGGGCCCGCACAAGCGGUGGAGCAUGUGGCUUAAUUCGAUGCAACGCGAAGAACCUUACCUGGGUUUGACAUGCCCGUCGUAUUCUCCUGAAAGGGAGAAGUCAAUUCGGCUGGACGGUGCACAGGUGCUGCAUGGCUGUCGUCAGCUCGUGCCGUGAGGUGUUGGGUUAAGUCCCGCAACGAGCGCAACCCUUGUGUUUAGUUGCCACUCCCGAUUCUGUCGGGAAGCACUCUAGACAGACUGCCCGUGACAAG
Molecule: ribosomal RNA, 1178 nt
Filed under: uncultured organism
Description: bacterial SSU rRNA
Rfam family: Bacterial small subunit ribosomal RNA
Source: RNAcentral